RNAcentral lists this transfer RNA (81 nucleotides) under Paragonimus westermani. RNAcentral's name for it is "tRNA-Leu". It matches the Rfam family "tRNA". From Rfam's summary of the family: Transfer RNA (tRNA) molecules are approximately 80 nucleotides in length. Lineage: Eukaryota; Metazoa; Platyhelminthes; Trematoda; Plagiorchiida; Troglotrematidae. The record is from RNAcentral.
GGCUUCGUAGCUCAGCUGGUAGAGCGCUUGUCGCAUUGAGGUAUGCUAUGUCUGUUGCUGGUUCGAAUCCGGCCGAAGCCC